GCCUCGGGACCCGUUGCCUGGACCCGUGCUGCCGGCCUUUGGCAGGCGUCCGAGCGCUGCACAGCCGCUGGGGCUCAGCACAGACUACGGCUUUUCCCAGCCGCACCCACGAGGUCCCCUCGGCGCUGGGAGAAUUCCUUAGCUGGCUCUCGCAGGGUGCCCUGGACUCAGCAGCUUCUCGGCCGUGCUCCUCCACACAGUGUUGCUGGACGUCCGAGGAGCCCAUGCCCAGAGCUGGGGGGAAGGGGCAGCCCGGAGAACGCCCCCUCCCUUUGCGCUUGCCAGCGGGCGGGUCAGAGACCGAGGGGAGCCCCCCUGCAGGCGUCUGGGCAAAGCCACGUGGACUGUGCAGCGCUGGGAGCUGAUCUCCCCCGGACCUGGCCCAUGCAGUGCGGCGCCGGGCUGCUCCCCAGAACUGCAGCACGGCACGGACGGGGGCCCGAGGGACGGCUUGCUGCCUGAUCUGUCCCGCUCCCCGUGGCCUGCCUGGCGUCAGGGCCCGCCAGCUCUUCCCCAGACCCGGGACCCCGAC
Non-coding RNA from Pelodiscus sinensis (Chinese soft-shelled turtle), 532 nucleotides. Lineage: Eukaryota; Metazoa; Chordata; Testudines; Trionychidae. The record is from RefSeq and is a predicted model, not a curated record.